RNAcentral lists this unclassified non-coding RNA (566 nucleotides) under uncultured Bartonella sp. Its description in RNAcentral is "partial 16S-23S ribosomal RNA intergenic spacer". The stretch from base 155 to 228 matches the Rfam family "tRNA". Lineage: Bacteria; Pseudomonadati; Pseudomonadota; Alphaproteobacteria; Hyphomicrobiales; Bartonellaceae. The record is from RNAcentral.
UUCAGAUGAUGAUCCCAAGCCUUCUGGCGGUCUACGCAAAAUAAGCUCUCAUCAAAAGAUUUAAGGAAAGCUCUUUAUGUUUUUUAAAUGAUGCUUUUAUGGGAGAGUGCUUUUUUAAGAUAAUGCUGGGGAAGGUUUUCCGGUUUAUCUCGGAGGGCUUGUAGCUCAGUUGGUUAGAGCGCGCGCUUGAUAAGCGUGAGGUCGGAGGUUCAAGUCCUCCCAGGCCCACCAAUUUAUCUAUCCAUUUGCCUUUAUCCGUUUAUUUGCUGUUUUAUCGGUCCGUUUGUUAAGUGUUGGCAACAGUUUUUGUAAUGAUGAAAAACAGUCCUGCUUAUAUAAAGACCUACUUAUAAAAGGCUUGUUUUUAACAUGUGACGCUUAUUCAUUCCGCUUAGGCAAGAGAAACUUCAGGCGGUUCAAACGCAAAACACUUUGAAUUUUGCAAAACAAUUUGCGUUUUGAAGUGAUUCAAGUUCGUGAUUUCGACUUUAAAAGUUUCGAAUGCUUUAUCCUUUUUUAGGGGCCGUAGCUCAGCUGGGAGAGCACCUGCUUUGCAAGCAGGGGGU